RNAcentral lists this ribosomal RNA (780 nucleotides) under uncultured bacterium. RNAcentral describes it as "bacterial SSU rRNA". It matches the Rfam family "Bacterial small subunit ribosomal RNA", at positions 28 to 808 of the family's 1533-position model. The record is from RNAcentral.
GAUGAACGCUGGCGGCGUGCUUAACACAUGCAAGUCGAACGGGAAAUAUUUCAUUGAGACUUCGGUGGAUUUGAUUUAUUUCUAGUGGCGGACGGGUGAGUAACGCGUGGGUAACCUGCCUUAUACAGGGGGAUAACAGUCAGAAAUGGCUGCUAAUACCGCAUAACCGCACAGGGCUGCAUGGCUCAGUGUGAAAAACUCCGGUGGUAUAAGAUGGACCCGCGUUGGAUUAGCUGGUUGGUGGGGUAACGGCCCACCAAGGCGACGAUCCAUAGCCGGCCUGAGAGGGUGAACGGCCACAUUGGGACUGAGACACGGCCCAGACUCCUACGGGAGGCAGCAGUGGGGAAUAUUGCACAAUGGGGGAAACCCUGAUGCAGCGACGCCGCGUGAAGGAAGAAGUAUCUCGGUAUGUAAACUUCUAUCAGCAGGGAAGAUAGUGACGGUACCUGACUAAGAAGCCCCGGCUAACUACGUGCCAGCAGCCGCGGUAAUACGUAGGGGGCAAGCGUUAUCCGGAUUUACUGGGUGUAAAGGGAGCGUAGACGCUCUGCGCAAGUCUGAUGUGAAAGGCAUGGGCUCAACCUGUGGACUGCAUUGGAAACUGUCAUACUUGAGUGCCGGAGGGGUAAGCGGAAUUCCUAGUGUAGCGGUGAAAUGCGUAGAUAUUAGGAGGAACACCAGUGGCCAAGGCGGCUUACUGGACGGUAACUGACGUUGAGGCUCGAAAGCGUGGGGAGCAAACAAGAUUAGAUACCCUGGUAGUCCACGCCGUAAACG